CCUACGGGAGGCAGCAGUGGGGAAUAUUUGACAAUGGGGGGAACCCUGAUCCAGCGACGCCGCGUGAGUGAAGAAGUAUUUCGGUGUGUAAAGCUCUAUCAGCAGGGAAGAAAAUGACUGUACCUGACUAAGAACCCUCGGCUAACUACGUGCCAGCAGCCGCGGUAAUACGUAGGGGGAAAGCGUUAUCCGGAUUUAAUGGGUGUAAAGGGUGCGUAGACGGUGCAGCAAGUCUGAUGUGAAAGGGCGGGGCUCAACCCCGGGACUGCAUUGGAAACUGUUGAACUUGAGUACAGGAGAGGUAAGCGGAAUUCCUAGUGUAGCGGUGAAAUGCGUAGAUAUUAGGAGGAACACCAGUGGCGAAGGCGGCUUACUGGACUGUAACUGACGUUGAGGCUCGAAAGCGUGGGGAGCAAACAGGAUUAGAUACCCGUGUAGUC
This 440-nucleotide ribosomal RNA is filed under the name uncultured bacterium. RNAcentral's name for it is "partial 16S ribosomal RNA". It matches the Rfam family "Bacterial small subunit ribosomal RNA", at positions 338 to 795 of the family's 1533-position model. The record is from RNAcentral.